GUCUCUCUGUCUCUCUCUCCUUCCUCCUAAUAAAGCUCUAAAAAGGUAACCAUGACUCGUGAUUCUUCUGCCACCGCAGCAUCCAGCGCUCUCUUCCUCUGCCACAGCCACUGUGAUAGCCACGGCCAGCCACAAUCGCCACUCUAAACCCCUUCACCCACUACAGCAUGAAGCCACAUGAGAUUCCUCAACAGUUGAAUGGGAGUGAUUGUGGAAUGUUUACUUGUAAAUAUGCAGAUUAUAUUUCUAGGGACAAACCUAUCACAUUUACUCAGCACCAGAUGCCUCUCUUCCGGAAGAAGAUGGUGUGGGAAAUCCUCCACCAGCAGUUGCUGUGACAAUGCCCUGCCCUGGGUCUUCUAGCUGCUGGUGGUUCUUUCAUGGAUGUUUCCAUAUACCUCAUGCAUUAUGGGUUAAAAGUCCCCGUAUCAUUUCUGUUCUUUCACAGGUACUGGGCUAUCAAGAGUGCAUGAAAGCCUCUCCACAGUAGCCCUGACUUGAGGUGUGGAGGGGCUGCUUGCAGCCCUGUUUGUGAGGCUGUGCCUGCCCAGAGCCCUGGACUGUUCACCCCAAACAAGAACAAAUGCUAAUUAAUGUUGUUUGUUUUAAAGAGUUAUUUCCAUAUGAAUGUGGGAAAUGCAGGCUUUGUUCUAUGAAUUGUUUUUUCUGUGUAUUUGUUCCCAUGUAUUCAUUCACUCACUCAUUUGCAAACACUGGGCAGUGCCCUUUUCUCACUGCUCUUUUAUAAUUAACUAUAAUAAUUUGUUUGGACUAUUUAUUUCUGAAAAGAAUGUAAUCAAACUGCCACCCUCUGCUGCAGAGGGACCUCAGCAGGGGGAGGAAGGGGGUGUUGACUAGCUUCUCUAAUGCUGGAGUAGGAACUGCUGACAUGAAGUUAACGCUCUCCCUUUUGAGGCUUGAAAAUGCCAGAAGAAAUGACGCUGCUGUGUUGUGGGGAUCUGGCUGCCUCUUAGAGGCUCUGCCGCUAUGACUCGGGCACAGUUCAUGGAAAUGUGGCCAAGGACCUCAGUCUCUGUGUCCUCAGAGCAGUGCGUGCUCAUCUUAGAGACUUUCUUUUUUAGAACUGAAGUAGCUUGGCUUCCUCUCGAAACUGGAUUCAAAGUAACUGUGACCAUAAAUGUUUCAUCCUAGGUGUGGUUGAGUAUGACCCUCACAAUGGUAAAGGGCUGGCCUGAACCGUCUAUUUCAGAAGAUGCUCCUCAAUUUAAGCCUGUUUUUCCUCAGAGUUUUUUUUAAUAUAUAAAUAUAUAUAAAGCUGAAAUUAAGUUCUUGGCUCAUUAGCAUGCCCUACUCCAGUCCCACUGAGCCUCCGGAGAGAGAUUUAGUACCUGGCUCUGAGGUCAUCUUUACAGUCAUCUAUUUUGCAUAUGAAAGUUUGUAUUUAACUUUUUUGUUCAUUAAAAAUCCUACAGAU
Molecule: long non-coding RNA, 1435 nt
Organism: Peromyscus leucopus (white-footed mouse)
Lineage: Eukaryota; Metazoa; Chordata; Mammalia; Rodentia; Cricetidae
Exons: 3
Source: RefSeq, a predicted model, not a curated record